GGGCUUGUGGUCUAGUGGUUAUGACACUUCGUUGACGUCGAAGAGAUCCCCAGUUCGAAUCUGGGCAGGCCCA
RNAcentral lists this transfer RNA (73 nucleotides) under archaeon GW2011_AR20. RNAcentral's name for it is "tRNA-Val". It matches the Rfam family "tRNA". From Rfam's summary of the family: Transfer RNA (tRNA) molecules are approximately 80 nucleotides in length. Their secondary structure includes four short double-helical elements and three loops (D, anti-codon, and T loops). RNAcentral also lists the same sequence under 1 other name. The record is from RNAcentral.